AUUGAACGCUGGCGGCAGGCCUAACACAUGCAAGUCGAGCGGUAGAGAGGUGCUUGCAUCUCUUGAGAGCGGCGGACGGGUGAGUAAUGCCUAGGAAUCUGCCUGGUAGUGGGGGACAACGUUUCGAAAGGAACGCUAAUACCGCAUACGUCCUACGGGAGAAAGCAGGGGACCUUCGGGCCUUGCGCUAUCAGAUGAGCCUAGGUCGGAUUAGCUAGUAGGUGAGGUAAUGGCUCACCUAGGCGACGAUCCGUAACUGGUCUGAGAGGAUGAUCAGUCACACUGGAGCUGAGACACGGUCCAGACUCCUACGGGAGGCAGCAGUGGGAAUAUUGGACAAUGGGCGAAAGCCUGAUCCAGCCAUGCCGCGUGUGUGAAGAAGGUCUUCGGAUUGUAAAGCUCUUUUACCCGAGAUGAUAAUGACAGUAUCGGGAGAAUAAGCUCCGGCUAACUCCGUGCCAGCAGCCGCGGUAA
This 474-nucleotide ribosomal RNA is filed under the name uncultured bacterium. RNAcentral's name for it is "bacterial SSU rRNA". It matches the Rfam family "Bacterial small subunit ribosomal RNA", at positions 30 to 523 of the family's 1533-position model. The record is from RNAcentral.